AUCCUAGAUGCUGGCGACGGUUUCCCCGAGAGGGGAUGAAAAGGGAAUGCGGUGCGGGGACAGUGUCGUAAGGACAUCGUCCCCAAUGCCGUAGCUGCCCCCGCAACUGUAAGCGGUGAAUCCUUCGUCUUUAAAGCCACUGGGGUCCUCGGUCCCGGGAAGGCGACGAAGCGGUCACGACCCGCGAGCCAGGAGACCUGCCGUCAGCCGUGGUCACAC
Molecule: non-coding RNA, 219 nt
Filed under: Bradyrhizobium manausense
Lineage: Bacteria; Pseudomonadati; Pseudomonadota; Alphaproteobacteria; Hyphomicrobiales; Nitrobacteraceae
Source: RNAcentral